Molecule: ribosomal RNA, 499 nt
Filed under: uncultured Pseudoclavibacter sp.
Lineage: Bacteria; Bacillati; Actinomycetota; Actinomycetes; Micrococcales; Microbacteriaceae
Description: bacterial SSU rRNA
Rfam family: Bacterial small subunit ribosomal RNA
Source: RNAcentral
UAAUACGUAGGGUGCAAGCGUUAUCCGGAAUUAUUGGGCGUAAAGAGCUCGUAGGCGGUUUGUCGCGUUCUGCUGUGAAAAUCUGAGGCUCAACCUCGGACUUGCAGUGGGUACGGGCAGACUAGAGUGCAGUAGGGGAGAAGGGAAUUCCUGGUGUAGCGGUGGAAUGCGCAGAUAUCAGGAGGAACACCAAUGGCGAAGGCACUUCUCUGGGCUGUAACUGACGCUGAGGAGCGAAAGCGUGGGAGCGAACAGGAUUAGAUACCCUGGUAGUCCACGCCGUAAACGUUGGGCGCUAGAUGUGGGUCACAUUCCACGUGAUCCGUGUCGCAGCUAACGCAUUAAGCGCCCCGCCUGGGGAGUACGGCCGCAAGGCUAAAACUCAAAGGAAUUGACGGGGGCCCGCACAAGCGGCGGAGCAUGCGGAUUAAUUCGAUGCAACGCGAAGAACCUUACCAAGGCUUGACAUAUAGAGGAAAACUGCAGAAAUGUAGUCCCC